Molecule: long non-coding RNA, 802 nt
Organism: Triticum dicoccoides
Lineage: Eukaryota; Viridiplantae; Streptophyta; Magnoliopsida; Poales; Poaceae
Exons: 4
Source: RefSeq, a predicted model, not a curated record
GAAGCGAAUGCGCCGCCUCUUCCUAGAUCUCCGCCGCCGCCGCCUGGGCUCAAUGCUGUCACUGCCGCUGGACUCGACACCACCCCCGCCGCCUUGAUUGGACCGGCAACCUCCGUCCCCAGCAUCCUCUCCUCCAGACGCCAGAGGCAAUGUUGGAGAAGAUGGCGUCCUGGAUUGGAUAGCAGAGAUUGUGUAGAGCACUAUGGAUAUCUACUUUACUGACAGGGAAUUAGGCAUAAUACAUAGUGCUUUUCCUGAAUGUUUGCGGGGAGCUCAGUUAGUGUCGAUGCCUCAAGGGUUUAUGAAUAACAGUUCCAUGUUGCUUAAAGGCAUUGUAAUGCUGGCUACUAGUUUCCAGGUAUAUGUUUAUGUAGUCAUAUGGACGCGCUCAUUGAUAAUUCCUAUAGAAUGUUUAUAUUCUUUAUAACUUUGCCAUGGAUGAACCUAUUCUGGAUAAUGACGAGUUAGCAAGGGAAGUUUCUGAUUGUAGAGAAUUGGUGACGCGUUUGCUUCAGGAUACUUAAUUAUAUGGCCUUGAGCUUUUAUUCAAAAGAAGGAUCAUUGAGUUGCAGCUGAAUUCUUCGGUUGGAUCAAGCAGCGAAGAAGAUUUUACUUAGCAAUACCUGUAGUUUACAUUGACAGAUUGAAAAAUGUAAUAUCAUUCACAAGAUUUUUUUCUUUGGUCGAAUUGAUGCAACUGCUAUGGUGUAAUAUUCUCCAUAGUUGUGUUGUCUAUAGUCAAAUUGAUAUGAAUGAUAUUAUGUUGCACCAAUAAUAUUGGUAUUUGUUUAUUGUAAUGCAU